RNAcentral lists this small nucleolar RNA (124 nucleotides) under Microcebus murinus (gray mouse lemur). The record is from RNAcentral. Lineage: Eukaryota; Metazoa; Chordata; Mammalia; Primates; Cheirogaleidae.
AACCACAGCCACACUGAAGAGUGGCUGGCACACUACCAGCUUCAAGACAGAAGGGGAAAGCCAGUCAGGCAAACUUACCCCACCCACCAUUUCUGGUGCUGGCCAGGGGAGUGCCUGGACACUU